RNAcentral lists this ribosomal RNA (253 nucleotides) under uncultured bacterium. RNAcentral's name for it is "partial 16S ribosomal RNA". It matches the Rfam family "Bacterial small subunit ribosomal RNA", at positions 524 to 776 of the family's 1533-position model. The record is from RNAcentral.
UACAGAGGUCUCAACCGUUGUUCGGAUUCAUUGGGCGUAAAGAGUGCGUAGGUGGUUUAGUAAGUUGGAAGUGAAAGCCCGGGGCUUAACCUCGGAAUAGCUUUCAAAACUACUAAUCUAGAGUGUAGUAGGGGAUGAUGGAAUUCCUAGUGUAGAGGUGAAAUUCUUAGAUAUUAGGAGGAACACCGGUGGCGAAGGCGGUCAUCUGGGCUACAACUGACACUGAUGCACGAAAGCGUGGGGAGCAAACAGG